AUGAUUGUAAGGUGUACAUGACUAGCUAGCAGGUGUCAUUUGACAUUGACCUCAUUUUCAUGGUUCAGUGGUCACAGUUAAGUUUUAGUUUUGGUCUUAUUUUCUAAUAAUAUAUGUAAUAUGUCAACUAUAUUUGGUGUAUGGAAAUAUUUUAUGAUCUAUAUGUCAGUUGCUCAGGUUUUAUUUGACUGUGACCUCAUUUUCAUUGUGUCAUCUAACUUUGACCUUAUUUUUAUAGUUCAUUGGUCAAUGUUAAUAAUUUAAAGUUGAUCCAUUGUAUCAGUUACAAGAAGGGACUAGUCAAUUAUAUUAUCAUGUAUUGAAUAAUUAUAAGGUGUCAUUCAUUUUUAUAUUCAUUUAUUGUCGAGCCUGCACCUUUUGUUGCAGAAAGCUCGACAUAGGAAUAGUGAUCCGGCGGCGGCGGCUACGGCGGCGGCGGCUACGGCGGCUACGGCGGCGGCGUUAGCUAACUUCUUAAAAGCUUUAUAUUUUAGAAGGUAGAAGACCUGGAUGCUUCAUACUUUGUAUAUAGAUGCCUCAUGUUACGAAUUUUCCGUCAGUCACAUGUCCAAUGUCCUUGACCUCAUUUUCAUGGUUCAGUGACUUCUUGAAAAAAAAGUUAAGAUUUUUUGUAAUGUUAAAUUCUCUCUUAUUAUAAGUAAUUGGAUAACUAUAUUUGGUAUGUACGUACCUUGCAAGGUCCUCAUUCCCGUCAAACAGUUUUCACUUGACCUCGACCUCAUUUCAUGGAUCAGUGAACAAGGUUAAGUUUUGGUGGUCAAGUCCAUAUCGCAGAUACUAUGAGCAAUAGGUUUAGUAUAUUGGGUGUAUGGAAGGACUGUAAGGUGUACAUGUCCAACUGGCAGGUGUCAUCUGACCUUGACCUCAUUUUCAUGGUUCAGUGGUUAUAGUUAAGUUUUUGUGUUUUGGUCUGUUUUUCUUAUACUAUAUGCAAUAGGUCUACUAUAUUUGGUGUAUGGAAUGAUUGUAAGUUGUACAUGUCUAGCUGACAGGUGUCAUCUGACCUGUACCUCAUUUUCAUGGCUCAGUGGUCAAAGUUAAGUUUUUGAGUUUUGGUCUAUUUUUCUAAUACUUUAUGCAUUAGUCAACUAUAUUUGGUGUAUGGAAAUAUUUUAUGAUUUAUAUGUCUGUUACGCAGGUUUUAUUUGACCUUGACCUCAUUUUCACGGUCUAUUGCUAAGUGUUAAGUGUUUGUGUUUUGGUCUGUUUUUCUUAAUUUAUAAGCAAUAAGUCAACUAUAUUUGUUGUAUUGAAGAAUUGUUAGCUGUACAUGUCUGCCUGGCAUUGUUCAUCUGACCUUGACCUCAUUUAAUGGUUCAUUGAUCAAUGUUUCGUUUUCUUUGGUUAAUGUUGAGUUUAUGUGACAGUUGUAAUAAAGCUUUAUAUUUAGGUCUAUCAACAUAAUAUCAAUGAUUAGUAAAGAAGGCGAGACAUUUCAG
RNAcentral lists this long non-coding RNA (1460 nucleotides) under Mytilus galloprovincialis (Mediterranean mussel). Lineage: Eukaryota; Metazoa; Mollusca; Bivalvia; Mytilida; Mytilidae. The record is from RNAcentral.